Molecule: ribosomal RNA, 468 nt
Filed under: uncultured bacterium
Lineage: Bacteria
Description: partial 16S ribosomal RNA
Rfam family: Bacterial small subunit ribosomal RNA
Source: RNAcentral
GACGAACGCUGGCGGCGUGCUUAACACAUGCAAGUCGAACGGACAGGCCCUGCUUUUGUGGGGUGCUCGAGUGGCGCACGGGUGAGUAACACGUGAGUAACCUGCCCUUGACUUUGUGAUAACUUCAGGAAACUGGGGCUAAUACCGGAUAGGAGCUCCUGCUGCAUGGUGGGGGUUGGAAAGUUUCGGCUGUUGGGGAUGGACUCGCAGCUUAUCCGCUUGUUGGUGUGGUAGUGGCUUACCAAGGGUUUGACGGGUAGCCGGCCUGAGAGGGGGACCGGGGACAAUAGGACUGAGAGACGGCCCAGAAUGCUACGGGAGGCAGCAGGGGGGAAUAUGGCACAAUGGGCGGAAGUCAGAGGCAGCAACGCCGCGUGCGGGAUGACGGCCUUCGGGGUGUAAACCGCUUUCGCCUGAGACGAAGCGUGAGUGACGGUAAUGGGUAAAGAAGCAACGGCUAACUACGUG